RNAcentral lists this ribosomal RNA (505 nucleotides) under Escherichia coli. RNAcentral's name for it is "partial 23S ribosomal RNA". It matches the Rfam family "Bacterial large subunit ribosomal RNA", at positions 1292 to 1782 of the family's 2925-position model. Lineage: Bacteria; Pseudomonadati; Pseudomonadota; Gammaproteobacteria; Enterobacterales; Enterobacteriaceae. The record is from RNAcentral.
GAAUGCUGACAUAAGUAACGAUAAAGCGGGUGAAAAGCCCGCUCGCCGGAAGACCAAGGGUUCCUGUCCAACGUUAAUCGGGGCAGGGUGAGUCGACCCCUAAGGCGAGGCCGAAAGGCGUAGUCGAUGGGAAACAGGUUAAUAUUCCUGUACUUGGUGUUACUGCGAAGGGGGGACGGAGAAGGCUAUGUUGGCCGGGCGACGGUUGUCCCGGUUUAAGCGUGUAGGCUGGUUUUCCAGGCAAAUCCGGAAAACCAAGGCUGAGGCGUGAUGACGAGGCACUACGGUGCUGAAGCGACAAAUGCCCUGCUUCCAGGAAAAGCCUCUAAGCAUCAGGUAACAUCAAAUCGUACCCCAAACCGACACAGGUGGUCAGGUAGAGAAUACCAAGGCGCUUGAGAGAACUCGGGUGAAGGAACUAGGCAAAAUGGUGCCGUAACUUCGGGAGAAGGCACGCUGAUAUGUAGGUGAAGCGACUUGCUCGUGGAGCUGAAAUCAGUCGAAG